This 338-nucleotide unclassified non-coding RNA is filed under the name soil metagenome. RNAcentral describes it as "partial contains 5.8S ribosomal RNA, internal transcribed spacer 2, and large subunit ribosomal RNA". The stretch from base 1 to 120 matches the Rfam family "5.8S ribosomal RNA", at positions 35 to 154 of the family's 154-position model. The record is from RNAcentral.
GAUGAAGAACGUAGUGAAAUGCGAUAAGUAAUGCGAAUUGCAGAAUUCCGUGAGUCAUCGAAUCUUUGAACGCACAUUGCGCCCUCUGGUAUUCCGGGGGGCAUGCCUGUUCGAGCGUCAUUGUCAACCCUCAAGCCCGGCUUGCUGUUGGGUCCCCGUCGUUGCUCCAGCGGCGGACCGAAAGACAAUGGCAGAGUCUGUGGGACCCUGGAUGCAGCGAGCUUCUAGCACGCGUCUGGGCGGUCUGCGGGCUCGGUCUCAACCAGUUGUCAGCCUCUGAUUGACCUCGGAUCAGGUAGGGAUACCCGCUGAACUUAAGCAUAUCAAUAAGCGGAGGA